UUUCGCAUUGGGUUUACGCGCCACAAUUCCGUUACCUACCGCAUGUAAAAGGUGCGUUUUACCCAGGCCGGUGCCGCCAUA
RNAcentral lists this antisense RNA (81 nucleotides) under Klebsiella michiganensis. RNAcentral describes it as "antisense RNA of dnaA mRNA". It matches the Rfam family "antisense RNA of dnaA mRNA". Lineage: Bacteria; Pseudomonadati; Pseudomonadota; Gammaproteobacteria; Enterobacterales; Enterobacteriaceae. The record is from RNAcentral.